GCAUAUCAAUAAGCGGAGGAAAAGAAACCAACAGGGAUUACCUCAGUAACGGCGAGUGAAGCGGUAACAGCUCAAAUUUGAAAUCUGGCUCUUUCAGGGUCCGAAUUGUAAUUUGUAGAAGAUGCUUCGAGUGUAGCUCCGGUCUAAGUUCCUUGGAACAGGACGUCAUAGAGGGUGAGAAUCCCGUAUGUGACUGGUGGCUUUCGCUCAUGUGAAGCUCUUUCGACGAGUCGAGUUGUUUGGGAAUGCAGCUCAAAAUGGGUGGUAUAUUUCAUCUAAAGCUAAAUAUUGGCCAGAGACCGAUAGCGCACAAGUAGAGUGAUCGAAAGAUGAAAAGCACUUUGGAAAGAGAGUUAAACAGUACGUGAAAUUGUUGAAAGGGAAGCGCUUGCAACCAGACUUGCAUGCUGUUAAUCAUCAGGAGUUCUCUCCUGUGCACUUGGCAGUGUUCAGGCCAGCAUCGAUUUUGGUGGUUGGAUAAAGACCUUAGGAAUGUGGCAUCUUUCGGGGUGUGUUAUAGCCUUCGGUGCAAUGCAGCCAACUGGGAUCGAGGACCGCGCUUCGGCUAGGAUGCUGGCGUAAUGGUUGUAAGCGACCCGUCUUGAAACACGGACCAAGGAGUCUAACAUCUAUGCGAGUGUUUGGGUGUUAAACCCAUACGCGGAAUGAAAGUGAACGGAGGUAAGAACCCUUAAGGGUGCAUUAUCGACCGAUCCUGAUGUCUUCGGAUGGAUUUGAGUAAGAGCAUAGCUGUUGGGACCCGAAAGAUGGUGAACUAUGCGUGAAUAGGGUGAAGCCAGAGGAAACUCUGGUGGAGGCUCGCAGCGGUUCUGACGUGCAAAUCGAUCGUCAAAUUUGCGCAUAGGGGCGAAAGACUAAUCGAACUAUCUAGUAGCUGGUUCCUGCCGAA
RNAcentral lists this ribosomal RNA (910 nucleotides) under Mitrula paludosa (swamp beacon). RNAcentral describes it as "LSU rRNA". It matches the Rfam family "Eukaryotic large subunit ribosomal RNA", at positions 38 to 965 of the family's 3401-position model. The record is from RNAcentral. Lineage: Eukaryota; Fungi; Ascomycota; Leotiomycetes; Helotiales; Mitrulaceae.